GUGCUGAAUAAGAAAAUGAGAAAAUAAAUAGCCGGCGGUACCAGGUUCCUGUUCGGGGCUGACUCAAGAAUACCAGCUUCUCCUGUUGCAGCCCACAGGUGAUCAAGCCAGUGAGUAUCUCGACACCAUCACACAAUCCUGACUACAACCACCCCUCAGAGAUGCUCCUUCUUUCCAGUGGGAAGCUGCUCCAGCGAGGGAAUAUGUGGCUCCUUCUUCAGGGUGAACAAGGUCAAGUACACGGGGGUCAAGCUCAUCCAUUCUCGUGCAAACGGAAAGUUGUCAGGGCUGCAAUACUGCUGCUGUGUGGACCUGGAGCGCGCCGCCAUUUAGCUGUGUGUGAGCUGCUGUGUGCCGUUAGCAGUCUUCUCAAAACCAAGUUAUAAGAUACAAACAAUCCAGAGAGGCCUGUCGUCCGAAGAGAAGGUGGUGCUGGGGUGUUCUGAGGAUCGCAGAUAAAGUCUUUGGCAACAAGAUUAUCUUUUCCUCGUCAGCAGGAAAUCCAAUCUGUGAGCCCCAUCAACAGGAAAUUAAAAAGAGCAACAUAGUUUAGACAAAAGCCAACAGCCCCAAUCUACCCUGUUCCUCCCAGCAGAAGAUCGACCAGUGACAAGACCUGGCAAUGACUCAGGAUGUCCUCACUGUGAGACCUGUGUCCUCAGGCAGGUCCACUUUGUAGAUAAACAGCAGCCAGAACCACUGCACAGCGCACAUCCACAAAAGUUUCUGGAGAGUUCUACUUCUCCAUCCUCUCACCACGCCAGACAAGGCUCAUUUCAUCUGGAUCUAUGUUUUGAAAGGAAGUUUACCAUCGUCGACAAUCUGUCACAAGAAAAAUGAAUUCACUUCAAUCACCCAGAGACAGAGAGAACACAUGCAGUGGUUCCAAAACUAGGGCCUGCGACCCCCUGGGGGGUCGUCAGAGAAGUUCCAUAAUAUUUAAAGCAUUUAGAAAUAAAAGUUUUUGUCAUUUUAGUUUCAAGAGUUAAAUGUAGAAGUGACUAUGACAGAUUAUAACUAGCAGCAGUUGCAGGUCAUUUUGCAGAACCCCAGGAAGCAAGGAAUUGCAUUUUAUUUAGUUACAUUAAAUAUCCUUUUCAUGCUUCAACCAACUCCUGGGAUAGUGAGGGUCACGCGUCGCUUGCACCUUUAUUAUAACCUACUGCACACACAAUCCGGUUGUUCAGAUCCCUGUCAAU
This is a long non-coding RNA of Pleuronectes platessa (European plaice), 1199 nucleotides long. RefSeq lists it as uncharacterized. The record is from RefSeq and is a predicted model, not a curated record. NCBI's taxonomy places the organism in Eukaryota, Metazoa, Chordata, Actinopteri, Pleuronectiformes, Pleuronectidae. The transcript is spliced from 3 exons.